This 996-nucleotide ribosomal RNA is filed under the name uncultured bacterium. RNAcentral's name for it is "bacterial SSU rRNA". It matches the Rfam family "Bacterial small subunit ribosomal RNA", at positions 355 to 1375 of the family's 1533-position model. The record is from RNAcentral.
UGGGGGAUAUUGCACAAUGGGGGAAACCCUGAUGCAGCGAUGCCGCGUGGAGGAAGAAGGUUUUCGGAUUGUAAACUCCUGUCGUAAGGGAAGAGAAAGGACUGUACCUUACAAGAAAGCUCCGGCUAACUACGUGCCAGCAGCCGCGGUAAUACGUAGGGAGCGAGCGUUGUCCGGAAUGACUGGGUGUAAAGGGAGCGUAGGCGGGAUGGCAAGUCAGAUGUGAAACCUGAGGGCUCAACCUUCAGACUGCAUUUGAAACUGCUGUUCUUGAGUAGUGCAGAGGUAGGCGGAAUUCCCGGUGUAGCGGUGGAAUGCGUAGAUAUCGGGAGGAACACCAGUGGCGAAGGCGGCCUACUGGGCACCAACUGACGCUGAGGCUCGAAAGUGUGGGUAGCAAACAGGAUUAGAUACCCUGGUAGUCCACACCGUAAACGAUGAUUACUAGGUGUUGGAGGAUUGACCCCUUCAGUGCCGCAGUUAACACAAUAAGUAAUCCACCUGGGGAGUACGACCGCAAGGUUGAAACUCAAAGGAAUUGACGGGGGCCCGCACAAGCAGUGGAGUAUGUGGUUUAAUUCGACGCAACGCGAAGAACCUUACCAAGUCUUGACAUCCCUUGACGAUGCUGGAAACAGCAUUUCUCUUCGGAGCAAGGAGACAGGUGGUGCAUGGUUGUCGUCAGCUCGUGUCGUGAGAUGUUGGGUUAAGUCCCGCAACGAGCGCAACCCUUAUGGUCAGUUACUACGCAAGAGGACUCUGGCCAGACUGCCGUUGACAAAACGGAGGAAGGUGGGGAUGACGUCAAAUCAUCAUGCCCUUUAUGACUUGGGCUACACACGUACUACAAUGGCGUUAAACAAAGAGAAGCAAGACCGCGAGGUGGAGCAAAACUCAGAAACAACGUCCCAGUUCGGACUGCAGGCUGCAACUCGCCUGCACGAAGUCGGAAUUGCUAGUAAUCGUGGAUCAGCAUGCCACGGUGAAUACGUUCCC